GGCUCAGGAUGAACGCUAGCGGCAGGCUUAACACAUGCAAGUCGAGGGGCAUCGGGAGUAGCAAUACUUGCCGGCGACCGGCGCAAGGGUGCGUAACGCGUGAGCAACAUGCCCGUAUCAGGGGGAUAAUCCAUGGAAACGUGGUCUAAUACCCCAUAGUAAUUAUGUAAGGCAUCUUAUAUAAUUUAAAGCUUUGGUGGAUACGGAUUGGCUCGCGUGACAUUAGCUGGAUGGUAAGGUAACGGCUUACCAUGGCUACGAUGUCUAGGGGUUCUGAGAGGAAGGUCCCCCCACACUGGAACUGAGAUACGGUCCAGACUCCUACGGGAGGCAGCAGUGAGGAAUAUUGGACAAUGGAUGGAAAUCUGAUCCAGCCAUGCCGCGUGCAAGGAAGACGGCCCUAUGGGUUGUAAACUGCUUUUGUAUGGGAGCAAUAAGGGCUACGUGUAGUCCGAUGAGAGUACCAUACGAAUAAGCACCGGCUAACUCCGUGCCAGCCGCCGC
RNAcentral lists this ribosomal RNA (504 nucleotides) under uncultured bacterium. RNAcentral's name for it is "bacterial SSU rRNA". It matches the Rfam family "Bacterial small subunit ribosomal RNA", at positions 21 to 518 of the family's 1533-position model. The record is from RNAcentral.